CAAGAAUCUGACUAAGAAUGAAGAUGAUGAUGGGCACCCUUUGUGGAUGCAAAGAUCAGUAGAAUAGGUGUCUUGCACCAGAUAGAUUCAAGUGGAAAGAGUGAUGGGUGAUUCAGGAAAAUCCUCAAGGGCCAGGAGACUAAUUAAGGUCAAGUCCUGUGGAGAGCAAAAUCCAGGAGAUGUAUCAUCAUUUGCCAUAUGAGGAAGUGGGGAUUUGCUACCUCAGAUCCCAAAAAAAGAAACUCUUUGCUUUCCAUCUCACUUUGUUUUGUCUAUUGUGUUAGGAUGAUCCUUAUACAUGAAAAAGCUCAAAAACUGACUCAAGAUUCCAGGUUUUGGAAGAGAGCCAUUCAUGCAAUGCCAAAGUACACAUCAAAAUGUGCAACAGAGAGUGUGGAGUGACACCAUCAACUAAAGAACUAGUCAAAGUUCCUACGAGCAUGGCGCCAUACAGCCAAUCUUCCUUCUUGGUUCUCAGUGUCUUCGAGGGUAGCUCAAAGGGUCACUGUCACAGUGACCAUGAAUUGUACAGGAAUCCUGUAG
This 543-nucleotide long non-coding RNA is filed under the name Homo sapiens (human). RNAcentral's name for it is "HSALNT0114936". Lineage: Eukaryota; Metazoa; Chordata; Mammalia; Primates; Hominidae. The record is from RNAcentral.